Molecule: long non-coding RNA, 143 nt
Organism: Pseudophryne corroboree (corroboree frog)
Lineage: Eukaryota; Metazoa; Chordata; Amphibia; Anura; Myobatrachidae
Exons: 5
Source: RefSeq, a predicted model, not a curated record
UCAGAGAUGUCGUCCUCGGAGGAGGAAAGCCUGGCUUCUGAUGACACCUCAUAUGGCAUCCCUGAUCUGCCCUAUGAUACACCAUCUGAGGACGGAUCCUCAAAGGAGAUCCCUGACUGGAGGCUUCCAGUGGUCCCCACCAA